UACAGAGGUCCCAAGCGUUACUGAGAAUCACUGGGUUUAAAGGGUGCGUAGGUGGUCCGUUAAGUCAGUUGUGAAAUCCCCGGGCUCAACCCGGGAAAUGCUUCUGAUACUGGCGGACUUGAGGCCAGUAGGGGUCACUAGAACUGACGGUGGAGCGGUGAAAUGCGUAGAUAUCGUCAGGAAUGCCGGUGGUGAAGACGGGUGACUGGGCUGGUUCUGACACUGAGGCACGAAAGCGUGGGGAGCGAACGGGGAGUU
RNAcentral lists this ribosomal RNA (258 nucleotides) under uncultured bacterium. Its description in RNAcentral is "partial 16S ribosomal RNA". It matches the Rfam family "Bacterial small subunit ribosomal RNA", at positions 524 to 783 of the family's 1533-position model. The record is from RNAcentral.